Molecule: ribosomal RNA, 253 nt
Filed under: uncultured bacterium
Lineage: Bacteria
Description: partial 16S ribosomal RNA
Rfam family: Bacterial small subunit ribosomal RNA
Source: RNAcentral
UACGGGGGGGGCAAGCGUUGUUCGGAAUUACUGGGCGUAAAGGGCGCGUAGGCGGCCUGCUAAGUCGGACGUGAAAUCCCUCGGCUCAACCGAGGAACUGCGUUCGAUACUGGUGGGCUUGAAUCCGGGAGAGGGAUGUGGAAUUCCAGGUGUAGCGGUGAAAUGCGUAGAUAUCUGGAGGAACACCGGUGGCGAAGGCGGCAUCCUGGACCGGUAUUGACGCUGAGGCGCGAAAGCUAGGGGAGCAAACGGG